GUAGGUGGCAAGCGUUGUCCGGAAUUAUUGGGCGUAAAGCGCGCGCAGGCGGUUCUUUAAGUCUGAUGUGAAAGCCCACGGCUCAACCGUGGAGGGUCAUCGGAAACUGGAGAACUUGAGUACAGAAGAGGAAAGCGGAAUUCCACGUGUAGCGGUGAAAUGCGUAGAGAUGUGGAGGAACACCAGUGGCGAAGGCGGCUUUCUGGUCUGUAACUGACGCUGAGGCGCGAAAGCGUGGGGGAGCAAACAGGAUUAGAUACCCUGGUAGUCCACGCCGUAAACGAUGAGUGCUAAGUGUUAGGGGGUUUCCGCCCCUUAGUGCUGCAGCUAACGCAUUAAGCACUCCGCCUGGGAGUACGGCCGCAAGGCUG
RNAcentral lists this ribosomal RNA (371 nucleotides) under uncultured organism. RNAcentral's name for it is "partial 16S ribosomal RNA". It matches the Rfam family "Bacterial small subunit ribosomal RNA", at positions 527 to 896 of the family's 1533-position model. The record is from RNAcentral.